RNAcentral lists this ribosomal RNA (497 nucleotides) under uncultured bacterium. RNAcentral's name for it is "partial 16S ribosomal RNA". It matches the Rfam family "Bacterial small subunit ribosomal RNA", at positions 28 to 507 of the family's 1533-position model. The record is from RNAcentral.
GAUGAACGCUGGCGGCGUGCCUAAUACAUGCAAGUCGAGCGAACAGACGAGGAGCUUGCUCCUCUGACGUUAGCGGCGGACGGGUGAGUAACACGUGGAUAACCUACCUAUAAGACUGGGAUAACUUCGGGACACCGGAGCUAAUACCGGAUAAUAUAUUGAACCGCAUGGUUCAAUAGUGAAAGACGGUUUUGCUGUCACUUAUAGAUGGAUCCGCGCCGCAUUAGCUAGUUGGUAAGGUAACGGCUUACCAAGGCAACGAUGCGUAGCCGACCUGAGAGGGUGAUCGGCCACACUGGAACUGAGACACGGUCCAGACGCCUACGGGAGGCAGCAGUAGGGAAUCUGCAGCAAUGGGCGAAAGCCUGACGGAGCAACGCCGCGUGAGUGAUGAAGGUCUUCGGAUCGUAAAACUCUGUUAUUAGGGAAGAACAAAUGUGUAAGUAACUAUGCACGUCUUGACGGUACAUAAUCAGAAAGCCACGGCUAACUACGUG